RNAcentral lists this ribosomal RNA (387 nucleotides) under Triticum aestivum (bread wheat). RNAcentral's name for it is "partial small subunit ribosomal RNA". Lineage: Eukaryota; Viridiplantae; Streptophyta; Magnoliopsida; Poales; Poaceae. The record is from RNAcentral.
AUGAACCCGGUGAACAGUACCACAAUUUACAAUAGAAACAAAGUUCACAAAAUUCGAAAUAUUUUUGUGGUGCACGAUGCUCCUGUGCGCGAACUCCAUGAUUUUUUUUGUGAAGUUUGGAUAUUCGAGGAGGUCGUGGCAAAAAAGACAAAAUCAGGCGUGAACAAUGUGAUUUCCAAAAGUUUCUCAGACAUUCGAGGCGUGAACAGUGUGAUUUUCAAAAAAGACAAAUUUCGGAUGUCCGAGAAACUUUUGAAAAUCGCACUAUUCAUACCUGAUCUUUUCUUUUUUGCCAUGAGCUCCUCGAAUAUCCAAACUUCACAAAAUUUUGCACAGUGUUCACGUACAGGAGCAUCUUACACCACAAAAUUGUUUUGGAAUUUUUAA